ACAAAUCAUUACCAUUCAAA
RNAcentral lists this small nuclear RNA (20 nucleotides) under Arabidopsis thaliana (thale cress). Its description in RNAcentral is "snRNA_14513". The record is from RNAcentral. Lineage: Eukaryota; Viridiplantae; Streptophyta; Magnoliopsida; Brassicales; Brassicaceae.